CAAUUUAAACAACGAAGAGUUUGAUCCUGGCUCAGGAUGAACGCUAGCGACAGGCUUAACACAUGCAAGUCGAGGGGCAGCACAGGUAGCAAUACCGGGUGGCGACCGGCGCACGGGUGAGUAACGCGUAUGCAACUUACCUAUCAGAGGGGGAUAACCCGGCGAAAGUCGGACUAAUACCGCAUGAAGCAGGGGUCCCGCAUGGGGAUAUUUGCUAAAGAUUCAUCGCUGAUAGAUAGGCAUGCGUUCCAUUAGGCAGUUGGCGGGGUAACGGCCCACCAAACCGACGAUGGAUAGGGGUUCUGAGAGGAAGGUCCCCCACAUUGGUACUGAGACACGGACCAAACUCCUACGNNNNNNNNNNNNNNNNNNNNNNNNNNNNNNNNNNNNNNNNNNNNNNNNNNNNNNNNNNNNNNNNNNNNNNCCCGCAUGGGGAUAUUUGCUAAAGAUUCAUCGCUGAUAGAUAGGCAUGCGUUCCAUUAGGCAGUUGGCGGGGUAACGGCCCACCAAACCGACGAUGGAUAGGGGUUCUGAGAGGAAGGUCCCCCACAUUGGUACUGAGACACGGACCAAACUCCUACGGGAGGCAGCAGUGAGGAAUAUUGGUCAAUGGGCGUAAGCCUGAACCAGCCAAGUCGCGUGAGGGAUGAAGGUUCUAUGGAUCGUAAACCUCUUUUAUAAGGGAAUAAAGUGCGGGACGUGUCCCGUUUUGUAUGUACCUUAUGAAUAAGGAUCGGCUAACUCCGUGCCAGCAGCCGCGGUAAUACGGAGGAUUCGAGCGUUAUCCGGAUUUAUUGGGUUUAAAGGGUGCGUAGGCGGCCUUUUAAGUCAGCGGUGAAAGUCUGUGGCUCAACCAUAGAAUUGCCGUUGAAACUGGGGGGCUUGAGUAUGUUUGAGGCAGGCGGAAUGCGUGGUGUAGCGGUGAAAUGCUUAGAUAUCACGCAGAACCCCGAUUGCGAAGGCAGCCUGCCAAGCCAUGACUGACGCUGAUGCACGAAAGCGUGGGGAUCAAACAGGAUUAGAUACCCUGGUAGUCCACGCAGUAAACGAUGAUCACUAGCUGUUUGCGAUACAGUGUAAGCGGCACAGCGANNNNNNNNNNNNNNGGCUUGAGUAUGUUUGAGGCAGGCGGAAUGCGUGGUGUAGCGGUGAAAUGCUUAGAUAUCACGCAGAACCCCGAUUGCGAAGGCAGCCUGCCAAGCCAUGACUGACGCUGAUGCACGAAAGCGUGGGGAUCAAACAGGAUUAGAUACCCUGGUAGUCCACGCAGUAAACGAUGAUCACUAGCUGUUUGCGAUACAGUGUAAGCGGCACAGCGAAAGCGUUAAGUGAUCCACCUGGGGAGUACGCCGGCAACGGUGAAACUCAAAGGAAUUGACGGGGGCCCGCACAAGCGGAGGAACAUGUGGUUUAAUUCGAUGAUACGCGAGGAACCUUACCCGGGUUUGAACGCAUUCGGACCGAGGUGGAAACACCUUUUCUAGCAAUAGCCGUUUGCGAGGUGCUGCAUGGUUGUCGUCAGCUCGUGCCGUGAGGUGUCGGCUUAAGUGCCAUAACGAGCGCAACCCUUGCCACUAGUUACUAACAGGUGAUGCUGAGGACUCUGGUGGGACUGCCAGCGUAAGCUGCGAGGAAGGCGGGGAUGACGUCAAAUCAGCACGGCCCUUACAUCCGGGGCGACACACGUGUUACAAUGGCGUGGACAAAGGGAAGCCACCUGGCGACAGGGAGCGAAUCCCCAAACCACGUCUCAGUUCGGAUCGGAGUCUGCAACCCGACUCCGUGAAGCUGGAUUCGCUAGUAAUCGCGCAUCAGCCAUGGCGCGGUGAAUACGUUCCCGGGCCUUGUACACACCGCCCGUCAAGCCAUGGGAGCCGGGGGUACCUGAAGUCCGUAACCGCGAGGAUCGGCCUAGGGUAAAACUGGUGACUGGGGCUAAGUCGUAACAAGGUAGCCGUACCGGAAGGUGCGGCUGGAACACCUCCUUUCUGGAGCU
RNAcentral lists this ribosomal RNA (1996 nucleotides) under Parabacteroides distasonis. RNAcentral describes it as "16S ribosomal RNA". It matches the Rfam family "Bacterial small subunit ribosomal RNA". Lineage: Bacteria; Pseudomonadati; Bacteroidota; Bacteroidia; Bacteroidales; Tannerellaceae. The record is from RNAcentral.